UCCAAGUCUCUCUUUGUGGACAUCUAUAUAUUGUACAUCUAUAUUGUACGUUACAUACGUCAUGUAACGUACAAUAUAGAUGUACAAUAUAUAGAUGUCCACAAAGAGAGACUUGGA
This is a non-coding RNA of Paramuricea clavata, 117 nucleotides long. The record is from the annotation of a GenBank genome assembly. NCBI's taxonomy places the organism in Eukaryota, Metazoa, Cnidaria, Anthozoa, Malacalcyonacea, Plexauridae.